CCUACGGGAGGCAGCAGUGGGGAAUAUUGCACAAUGGGGGAAACCCUGAUGCAGCGACGCCGCGUGAGCGAGGAAGUAUUUCGGUAUGUAAAGCUCUAUCAGCAGGGACGAAAAAAGACGGUACCUGACCAAGAACCCCCGCUUAACUACGUGCCAGCAGCCGCGGUAAUACGUAGGGGGCAAGCGUUAUCCGGAUUUACUGGGUGUAAAGGGGGCGCAGACGGCAGUGCAAGCCAGGAGUGAAAGCCCGGGGCCCAACCCCGGGACUGCUCUUGGAACUGCAUGGCUGGAGUGCAGGAGGGGCAGGCGGAAUUCCUAGUGUAGCGGUGAAAUGCGUAGAUAUUAGGAGGAACACCAGUGGCGAAGGCGGCCUGCUGGACUGUGACUGACGUUGAGGCCCGAAGGCGUGGGGAGCAAACAGGAUUAGAUACCCCAGUAGUC
This 441-nucleotide ribosomal RNA is filed under the name uncultured bacterium. RNAcentral's name for it is "partial 16S ribosomal RNA". It matches the Rfam family "Bacterial small subunit ribosomal RNA", at positions 338 to 795 of the family's 1533-position model. The record is from RNAcentral.